This 488-nucleotide ribosomal RNA is filed under the name uncultured bacterium. RNAcentral's name for it is "partial 16S ribosomal RNA". It matches the Rfam family "Bacterial small subunit ribosomal RNA", at positions 30 to 506 of the family's 1533-position model. The record is from RNAcentral.
UUGAACGCUGGCGGCAGGCCUAACACAUGCAAGUCGAACGGUAACAGGAAGAAGCUUGCUUCUUUGCUGACGAGUGGCGGACGGGUGAGUAAUGUCUGGGAAACUGCCUGAUGGAGGGGGAUAACUACUGGAAACGGUAGCUAAUACCGCAUAACGUCGCAAGACCAAAGAGGGGGACCUGCGGGCCUCUUGCCAUCGGAUGUGCCCAGAUGGGAUUAGCUAGUAGGUGGGGUAACGGCUCACCUAGGCGACGAUCCCUAGCUGGUCUGAGAGGAUGACCAGCCACACUGGAACUGAGACACGGUCCAGACUCCUACGGGAGGCAGCAGUGGGGAAUAUUGCACAAUGGGCGCAAGCCUGAUGCAGCCAUGCCGCGUGUAUGAAGAAGGCCUUCGGGUUGUAAAGUACUUUCAGCGGGGAGGAAGGGAGUAAAGUUAAUACCUUUGCUCAUUGACGUUACCCGCAGAAGAAGCACCGGCUAACUCCGU